Ochotona princeps (American pika) is the source of this 303-nucleotide long non-coding RNA. RefSeq lists it as uncharacterized. The record is from RefSeq and is a predicted model, not a curated record. Lineage: Eukaryota; Metazoa; Chordata; Mammalia; Lagomorpha; Ochotonidae. The transcript has 3 exons.
GUGGACUCUGUGUGGUAUCAUCCAGGAAGGAGGAGAAGCAGAGGCUCCAGAAAAUAAGCGUCGGGCCGGUUACCCCAACUUACCCCACAUUUGGGCGGCACCUAGCCCUGAAGCCGUUUGUGACUGUCACUCAGACUGCAUUAAUAAGGUCAUGAUGCUCAGCAAGGCUCAGCUUGCAUCUCAUUAAACCCUGAAUUCUGCUGGCGGGUACUGACUCCUCCUCCAGUUGUGUCUCUCAGGAUUGACGUGGUCCUGCUGUAAUAGAGAGAACCAGGUAGCUCAAGAAGGGGGAAAAGUAAAAAG